Molecule: long non-coding RNA, 1223 nt
Organism: Gossypium raimondii (Peruvian cotton)
Lineage: Eukaryota; Viridiplantae; Streptophyta; Magnoliopsida; Malvales; Malvaceae
Exons: 4
Source: RefSeq, a predicted model, not a curated record
ACAGUAAAGCAACCAUUUGGUUCAUCGUUUAGGUGAUUCCACGGAAUUGCUAUUACAGUCUCAUUCGUUCAGCUCACCGUUUAGUAUUCAGGGGUUGGGGGUCUGAAUACCUAUUCAACACCACACCGUUUAGGUUUUUAAACCAAAAUAGCCUGCCUCUCUUCUUCCCAAAAUUCUCUCCAGAUUUCUUCCUCCCCAAAUCAAGCAUCCAUUCGCCCUUCAUCUUCAUCUCCCCAAAUAUUGUAAAGGGCUACUCGUAAGUCGGCACCGACAACUGGAGGUGUGAAGAAGCCUCACCGAUAUCGCCCUGGAACUGUAGCUCUGCGUGAAAUCCAGAAGUACCAGAAAAGUACUGAACUCCUCAUCAGGAAACUGCCUUUCCAAAGGCUCGUUCGUGAAAUUGCCCAAGACUUUAAGGGUGGAGGUUGUGAUUCCGACUUUGGGUCUGCAUAUGGCUGUCAAUGCAUGUGCAGCAGCAGCAGUUGCAACUUCUAUGGGUGUCCUCUUUCUCAAGUUAGAAGAUCCUUAUCUCGAUACAUUCCUGUUAGUAUGAGGUCCGAGUUUGUUGUAGCUAAAAGUGGCAUCAAGAUAGUGAAUGAUGCUUUCAAUGCCAAUCCCAUUAGCACCAAAGCCAGCAUCGACACGUUGAAAAACAUCCAUUGUGAUUGAAAAAGAGUUGCUAUUCUUGGGGACAUGUUUGAACUAGGUACUCAUGAGAUAGAGUAUCAUGAGGAUGUAUUAAACUAUUGUCUUGAUGCUUGUAUUGAUGUAGAUGCCAUUGCUGGGUAGAGGUUUCAUUUAGCAGUUGAUAAUAUGAAUUUAAUGAAGAAGAUGAAGGUUGUACAUGCUGUUGAAACAGAAAAUCUUAUUCCUAAAAUCUUGGAACUGUUUGAAUAUGAAUGAUGUAGUCCUCGUGAAAGGUGGGUGUCAGAUGCAAAUGGUGAAAGUUGUGGAUGUAAUCAAGGCAAUGCCGAGAUUCACUCAACCUUCAUGCUCGGGUUCGAAGAAUUGAAGGCAACAACAAGGAUGACAAAUCUGAUGAAAACAACUGCUCAGGAUCGAACUCUUAAAACAGAGUCAUUACCAUGUCUUAAAACAACUUUUUGUGUUUAUAAUAUUUGGAUGGUAUAAUGACAUGAUAGGUUGUCAUUACAAUAUUGUAACUUUUUGUUAAUAUGAAUAUUAUGUUUGGAUAUGAAAUAUAAUUCUCAAGUUAUUUAUUA